AGAGUUUGAUCCUGGCUCAGAUUGAACGCUGGCGGUAUGCUUAACACAUGCAAGUCGAACGGUAGCAGGCCUUCGGGCGCUGACGAGUGGCGGACGGGUGAGUAACGCGUAGGAAUCUGCCUCAUAGUGGGGGACAACGUGGGGAAACUCACGCUAAUACCGCAUACGCCCUACGGGGGAAAGCGGGGGCUCUUCGGACCUCGCGCUAUGAGAUGAGCCUGCGUUAGAUUAGCUAGUUGGUGGGGUAAAGGCCUACCAAGGCGACGAUCUAUAGCUGGUCUGAGAGGACGAUCAGCCACACUGGGACUGAGACACGGCCCAGACUCCUACGGGAGGCAGCAGUGGGGAAUAUUGGACAAUGGGCGCAAGCCUGAUCCAGCAAUACCGCGUGUGUGAAGAAGGCCCUAGGGUUGUAAAGCACUUUCAAUUGGGAGGAAAACCUGCCGGUUAAUACCCGGUAGCUUGACAUUACCAAUAGAAGAAGCACCGGCUAACUCCGUGCCAGCAGCCGCGGUAAUACGGAGGGUGCGAGCGUUAAUCGGAAUUACUGGGCGUAAAACGUGCGUAGGUGGUUCGUUAAGUCAGAUGUGAAAGCCCCGGGCUUAACCUGGGAACGGCAUUUGAAACUGGCGGACUAGAGUUGAGUAGAGGGGAGUGGAAUUUCAGGUGUAGCGGUGAAAUGCGUAGAUAUCUGAAGGAACACCAGUGGCGAAGGCGACUCCCUGGACUCAAACUGACGCUGAGGUACGAAAGCGUGGGUAGCAAACAGGAUUAGAUACCCUGGUAGUCCACGCUGUAAA
RNAcentral lists this ribosomal RNA (800 nucleotides) under uncultured bacterium. RNAcentral's name for it is "bacterial SSU rRNA". It matches the Rfam family "Bacterial small subunit ribosomal RNA", at positions 8 to 806 of the family's 1533-position model. The record is from RNAcentral.